GAUUAUCGCACACUCGGACCAGAAAUGUAAAUACGGCAAUAAAAGAUCACAAUUUAAAGAUAGAAACUUGAAAAUAACAUUGUAAACAGUGUUUUGAAUACUCAAUCGAACAAGAUUAUUAUAAUGAGCAUACGUCUCAAUGGGAGUUUAAUAUGUUCGGCGAAAGGUAUGUCUAUGUUUAUACACAAAGUCGCUUCGCUUUCAAAGCUCAUAAAUCGCUGUAAUGUUGCCAUUGACUAAAAACUAUCGCUAGGAAUGAGGAGAUAUUGUUACACUGAAUCGAACAGUGGUAUUUUUGUCCCCAUAGAUAU
Paramuricea clavata is the source of this 311-nucleotide non-coding RNA. The record is from the annotation of a GenBank genome assembly. NCBI's taxonomy places the organism in Eukaryota, Metazoa, Cnidaria, Anthozoa, Malacalcyonacea, Plexauridae.